AGUCGAGCGGUAACAUGAACUAGCUUGCUAGUUUGAUGACGAGCGGCGGACGGGUGAGUAAUGCUUAGGAACUUGCCUCUUGGAGGGGGACAACAGUUGGAAACGACUGCUAAUACCGCAUGAUGUCGCAAGACCAAAGGGGGCUUCGGCUCCUGCCAAGAGAGAGGCCUAAGUGAGAUUAGCUAGUUGGUGGGGUAAAGGCUCACCAAGGCGACGAUCUCUAGCUGUUCUGAGAGGAAGAUCAGCCACACUGGGACUGAGACACGGCCCAGACUCCUACGGGAGGCAGCAGUGGGGAAUAUUGGACAAUGGGCGCAAGCCUGAUCCAGCCAUGCCGCGUGUGUGAAGAAGGCCUUCGGGUUGUAAAGCACUUUCAGUGGUGAGGAAAGGUUGGUGGUUAAUACCCAUCAGCUGUGACGUUAGCCACAGAAGAAGCACCGGCUAACUCCGUGCCAGCAGCCGCGGUAAUACGGAGGGUGCGAGCGUUAAUCGGAAUUACUGGGCGUAAAGCGCACGCAGGCGGAUUGUUAAGCUAGAUGUGAAAGCCCCGGGCUCAACCUGGGAAUUGCAUUUAGAACUGGCAGUCUAGAGUCUUGGAGAGGGGGGUGGA
This 610-nucleotide ribosomal RNA is filed under the name bacterium KS96. Its description in RNAcentral is "bacterial SSU rRNA". It matches the Rfam family "Bacterial small subunit ribosomal RNA", at positions 60 to 665 of the family's 1533-position model. The record is from RNAcentral.